GCUGGCUCAGUCGGUGUAGAGCAUGUGACUCUUGAUCACAGGGUUGUGAGUUCAAGCUCCACAUUGAGCA
Molecule: transfer RNA, 70 nt
Filed under: Canis lupus familiaris (dog)
Lineage: Eukaryota; Metazoa; Chordata; Mammalia; Carnivora; Canidae
Also listed under: 1 other name
Rfam family: tRNA
About the family: Transfer RNA (tRNA) molecules are approximately 80 nucleotides in length. Their secondary structure includes four short double-helical elements and three loops (D, anti-codon, and T loops).
Source: Rfam by way of RNAcentral